AUCUAUGGCAAUAUCAGUCUGAAAGUGCCUGAUCUUGUCAGAUCUUAUGAAGCCAUCCAGACUCGGGCCUGGUUAGCACUUGUAUGGGAGACCUACUAGGAACCUCAGGUGCUGUAACGG
Pelobates cultripes (western spadefoot toad) is the source of this 120-nucleotide non-coding RNA. NCBI's taxonomy places the organism in Eukaryota, Metazoa, Chordata, Amphibia, Anura, Pelobatidae. The record is from the annotation of a GenBank genome assembly.